GGCUUCGUAGCUCAGCUGGUAGAGCGCUUUUCGCGUUGAGGCAAGUUAUUUCUGUAGCUGGUUCGAAUACAGCCGAAGCCC
Molecule: transfer RNA, 81 nt
Filed under: Paragonimus skrjabini miyazakii
Lineage: Eukaryota; Metazoa; Platyhelminthes; Trematoda; Plagiorchiida; Troglotrematidae
Description: Paragonimus miyazakii tRNA-Arg
Source: RNAcentral